RNAcentral lists this long non-coding RNA (368 nucleotides) under Nicotiana benthamiana. RNAcentral describes it as "long non-coding RNA (NBEN_LNC005045)". Lineage: Eukaryota; Viridiplantae; Streptophyta; Magnoliopsida; Solanales; Solanaceae. The record is from RNAcentral.
UAUAAUAGAAAUAUUUUGAUACAAAAAAAGAAGUCGAAAUAUAAAAAUGAAUCUAGGGAGUGUGUUUUCUUUUGUGUUAUUGAUGGUCUUGGCUAUUGGAGGAAAUUUUGUUGAAGGUACUCAGAUUAUUAUUACAUGUGAUCCUGUUGCAUGCGCAAAAACAUGCCAACAAGCCUAUGGUUCAAGGCUAAUUAAAUCUUAUUGUAAGCCUAUACCAUUUGGAGAUGCAAAAGCUUGUGUAUGUGAACACAAUCCGUCUAUUCUUAAAAAAUCACGAAAAAGUUUAUUUCCAUGAUUCAUGUAGAACAGUCAAUUGAAAGAGAGUUAAUAUGCAUAAUUACCUUGCUAUUUUCUCUGCAAUAGCUGGC